RNAcentral lists this long non-coding RNA (269 nucleotides) under Mytilus galloprovincialis (Mediterranean mussel). Lineage: Eukaryota; Metazoa; Mollusca; Bivalvia; Mytilida; Mytilidae. The record is from RNAcentral.
AUCUGCCAGUCUCUUGACCAACUGACCUUAUCAUAGAGUUUAAUCACUUCAUCUCUAGACAAACAAAUAGGCAUAGCUAAUUUUAUUACCCUACACACCAGGACAUCGUUUCUGGUCUUAAUCACAUCUGACAGUUCAACUUUAACUGCAGAUAAUAAACUAGCAACUUGUCAAAUUAGCCUUGCGUCAUUAAUUUUUCUCUGUACACAAAUUAAACAGUUAUAAAGCCAAACUAACUAGAGGUCAAUAUUUACAAAACAUUAAAAUAU